AUUGAACGCUGGCGGCAUGCUUUACACAUGCAAGUCGGACGGCAGCACAGAGAAGCUUGCUUCUUGGGUGGCGAGUGGCGAACGGGUGAGUAACAUAUCGGAACGUACCGAGCAGUGGGGGAUAACUAAUCGAAAGAUUAGCUAAUACCGCAUAUCUUCUGAGGAAGAAAGCAGGGGACCAUUUGGCCUUGCGCUGUUUGAGCGGCCGAUAUCUGAUUAGCUAGUUGGUGGGGUAAAGGCCUACCAAGGCGACGAUCAGUAGCGGGUCUGAGAGGAUGAUCGCCCCACUGGGAGCGGAACCAGGCCCAGUCCCCCAGGGGGAGGGGCGAGGGGGAAUUUUGAGACAGGGGGGGCAAGCCUGACCCAACUGGCGGGCGUGUCAGAAAAGGGCUUUGGGUUUUAAAGGGUUUUUUGUGGGGGAAAAAAAGGGGGGGUUGAACACCCUUGUGUGAUGAGGGUACGUGAAAAAAAAGCACGGGCUAACUAGGUG
Molecule: ribosomal RNA, 490 nt
Filed under: uncultured bacterium
Lineage: Bacteria
Description: partial 16S ribosomal RNA
Rfam family: Bacterial small subunit ribosomal RNA
Source: RNAcentral